CAGUCGCCACGGUAAUACGUAGGGUGCAAGCGUUGUCCGGAAUCAUUGGGCGUAAAGCGCGCGUAGGUGGCCAUUUAAGUCCGCUGUGAAAGUCAAAGGCUCAACCUUUGAGAGCCGGUGGAUACUGGAUGGUUAGAGUACGGAAGAGGCGAGUGGAAUUCCUGGUGUAGCGGUGGAAUGCGCAGAUAUCAGGAGGAACACCAAUAGCGAAGGCAGCUCGCUGGGACGUUACUGACACUGAGGCGCGAAAGCGUGGGGAGCGAACAGGAUUAGAUACCCCAGUAGUCCCUGUCUCUUAUAC
Molecule: ribosomal RNA, 301 nt
Filed under: uncultured bacterium
Lineage: Bacteria
Description: partial 16S ribosomal RNA
Rfam family: Bacterial small subunit ribosomal RNA
Source: RNAcentral